RNAcentral lists this ribosomal RNA (433 nucleotides) under uncultured bacterium. RNAcentral's name for it is "partial 16S ribosomal RNA". It matches the Rfam family "Bacterial small subunit ribosomal RNA", at positions 29 to 507 of the family's 1533-position model. The record is from RNAcentral.
AACGAACGCUGGCGGCAUGCCUAACACAUGCAAGUCGAACGAGACCUUCGGGUCUAGUGGCGCACGGGUGCGUAACGCGGGGGAACCUGCCCUUAGGUUCGGAAUAACUCCCCGAAAGGGGUGCUAAUACCGGAUAAUUUCUUCGGACCAAAGAUUUAUCGCCUUUGGAUGGGCCCGCGUUGGAUUAGCUAGUUGGUAGGGUAAAAGCCUACCAAGGCGACGAUCCAUAGCUGGUCUGAGAGGAUGAUCAGCCACACUGGGACUGAGACACGGCCCAGACUCCUACGGGAGGCAGCAGUGGGGAAUAUUGGACAAUGGGCGAAAGCCUGAUCCAGCAAUGCCGCGUGAGUGAUGAAGGCCUUAGGGUUGUAAAGCUCUUUUACCCGGGAUGAUAAUGACAGUACCGGGAGAAUAAGCUCCGGCUAACUCCGUG